GUCAUCUCCAAUUCGCAGCAAACUUUGAUUUCUACAGCAGCAUGAUCAAUACAGCAGAAAAACUUUGAUUUCAAACUUUGAUUUUCUUCCACAGCAGCAAACUUUGAAGCAGCAAAACUUUGAAUGAUUUCUUUCUUUCACACGUUUAUGUUCAAACAAGUAAAUUCAAUCUAUUUAAACCUCAUUGUAUCAUCCUCAAAAUUCACAAAUCCAACAAAAAAAACUCAACUUUUAUAAUCCAAUCUGUAAAACCCAGCAGCAACCGACUUACUUGUUCCCUUCACAGUUCACCACAAAACUCAAUCUGCUCUUUUCACUGCAGAAUUCCAUUGGUGCGGCGCGACUAGGAUGUGAACUUUAAAUUCUUGCAGUUAAUUUUCAAAGCUCAAAAGUUCAAGUUUCAGUUUCAGGUGAUUGAUAUCGGAGGCGCGUGGAGAGUCGAAUGGGCGCGUCGAAUCUAUUUAAAGAUAAAUGUUUCUUAAAACAUAUUAUGUUAUUUCAUGUGAUAUCUUUUGGUUAUGUAAACUCUGAAAUUCUAUACUAUUUGAGAUUUGUGUGUGAUUUGUCUAAAUAAAUAUUGUUAUAUUAUUUUAAUGUCA
Long non-coding RNA from Salvia miltiorrhiza (redroot sage), 599 nucleotides. RefSeq lists it as uncharacterized. The record is from RefSeq and is a predicted model, not a curated record. NCBI's taxonomy places the organism in Eukaryota, Viridiplantae, Streptophyta, Magnoliopsida, Lamiales, Lamiaceae. The transcript is spliced from 3 exons.